This 25-nucleotide non-coding RNA is filed under the name Rattus norvegicus (Norway rat). Lineage: Eukaryota; Metazoa; Chordata; Mammalia; Rodentia; Muridae. The record is from RNAcentral.
UGAGAAAGCAGUAAUGGGAAGUGUU